AGAAACAGGGCGCCGUGGUUAAAGUGCCUGUCUAUUAAACAGGAGAUCCUGGGUUCAAAUCCCAGUGGUGCCU
Molecule: non-coding RNA, 73 nt
Organism: Danionella cerebrum
Lineage: Eukaryota; Metazoa; Chordata; Actinopteri; Cypriniformes; Danionidae
Source: the annotation of a GenBank genome assembly